GACACGAUGGCCGAGUGGUCUAAGGCGGUAGAUUUAAGUCUAGCUUGGAUCUCUACUACAGAAAUGUGCGUGGGUUCGAACCCCACUCGUGUCA
Non-coding RNA from Pyrenochaeta sp. MPI-SDFR-AT-0127, 94 nucleotides. NCBI's taxonomy places the organism in Eukaryota, Fungi, Ascomycota, Dothideomycetes, Pleosporales, Cucurbitariaceae. The record is from the annotation of a GenBank genome assembly.